ACGAACGCUGGCGGCAGGCCUAACACAUGCAAGUCGAGCGAGAUGCUUUUUUCGGAAAGCAGAAAGCGGCGAACGGGUGAGUAACGCGUGGGAACAUACCCUGUGGUGGGGGACAACCGUUGGAAACGGCGGCUAAUACCGCAUAAGCCCUUCGGGGGAAAGCUUUAUGCGCCAUGGGAGUGGCCCGCGUUGGAUUAGGUAGUUGGUGGGGUAAAGGCCUACCAAGCCUACGAUCCAUAGCUGAUCUGAGAGGAUGAUCAGCCACACUGGAACUGAGAUACGGUCCAGACUCCUACGGGAGGCAGCAGUGGGGAAUAUUGCGCAAUGGGGGAAACCCUGACGCAGCCAUGCCGCGUGAGUGAAGAAGGCCUUCGGGUUGUAAAACUCUUUCGCCUGUGAAGAUGAUGACUGUAGCAGGAGAAGAAGCCCCGGCUAACUUCGU
RNAcentral lists this ribosomal RNA (442 nucleotides) under uncultured bacterium. RNAcentral describes it as "bacterial SSU rRNA". It matches the Rfam family "Bacterial small subunit ribosomal RNA", at positions 29 to 506 of the family's 1533-position model. The record is from RNAcentral.